RNAcentral lists this ribosomal RNA (310 nucleotides) under uncultured bacterium. RNAcentral's name for it is "bacterial SSU rRNA". It matches the Rfam family "Bacterial small subunit ribosomal RNA", at positions 29 to 334 of the family's 1533-position model. The record is from RNAcentral.
AACGAACGUUGGCGGCGUGGAUUAGGCAUGCAAGUCGAACGAGAAAGCUCUCUUCGGAGAGUGAGUAAAGUGGCGAACUGGUGAGUAACAGGUGGAUAAUGUGCCUCUAAGUGGGGGAUAGCCAUGGGAAACUAUGGGUAAUACCGCAUACGUUCUCAGAAUCAUAGGUUUUUGAGGGCAAAGGCUUCGGCCGCUUGGAGAGCAGUCCGCUCCCGAUUAGCUAGUUGGUGGGGUAAUGGCCUACCAAGGCAACGAUCGGUAGGUGGCCUGAGAGGGUGGUCACCCACACUGGGACUGAGAUACGGCCCAG